UCGAGAAUCUUCCGCAAUGGGCGAAAGCCUGACGGAGCGACACCGCGUGCAGGACGAAGGCCCUCGGGUUGUAAACUGCUGUCACGCUCUAGGAAUGCCAUGUCGUUAAUAGCGGCAUGGUUGACCAAGGCGAAAGGAAGUGGCGGCUAACUCUGUGCCAGCAGCCGCGGUAAGACAGAGGCCACGAACGUUGUUCGGAAUCACUGGGCAUAAAGCGCACGUAGGCGGCUAGGUCCGUCCAAUGUGAAAGCCCCCGGCUCAACCGGGGAAUUGCAUCGGAUACAGCCUGGCUUGAGGACGGUUGGGGUGAGUGGAACUCCUGGUGGAGCGGUGAAAUGCGUAGAUAUCAGGAGGAACACCGGUGGCGAAAGCGGCUCACUGGACCGUAACUGACGCUGAGGUGCGAAAGCUAGGGGAGCAAACAGGAUUAGAUACCCACGUAGUCCCUGAGCGGGCUGGCAAGGCGCAU
Molecule: ribosomal RNA, 469 nt
Filed under: uncultured bacterium
Lineage: Bacteria
Description: bacterial SSU rRNA
Rfam family: Bacterial small subunit ribosomal RNA
Source: RNAcentral